RNAcentral lists this unclassified non-coding RNA (337 nucleotides) under soil metagenome. RNAcentral describes it as "partial contains 5.8S ribosomal RNA, internal transcribed spacer 2, and large subunit ribosomal RNA". The stretch from base 1 to 120 matches the Rfam family "5.8S ribosomal RNA", at positions 35 to 154 of the family's 154-position model. The record is from RNAcentral.
GAUGAAGAACGCAGCGAAAUGCGAUAAGUAGUGUGAAUUGCAGAAUUCAGUGAAUCAUCGAAUCUUUGAACGCACAUUGCGCCCCUUGGUAUUCCAUGGGGCAUGCCUGUUCGAGCGUCAUUUGUACCUUCAAGCUCUGCUUGGUGUUGGGUGUUUGUCUCGCCUCUGCGUGUAGACUCGCCUCAAAACAAUUGGCAGCCGGCGUAUUGAUUUCGGAGCGCAGUACAUCUCGCGCUUUGCACUCAUAACGACGACGUCCAAAAGUACAUUUUUACACUCUUGACCUCGGAUCAGGUAGGGAUACCCUCUGAACUUAAGCAUAUCAAUAAGCGGAGGA